AAAGGGCUAAACAAGGUGACAAACUCUCAGCUUCCACCGAAUUCUGAGAGAAGACAUUGACAGAGGUGUCUCUUGAAAAUGGCUAUAAAACUUCUUGUCAAAUUGGAGUACUUUGGAAUAUUUAGGAAAAGUUGGCAGAGAGGAGACAGGACUAAAGUGCAGCUCCCACUUGGAUGAACUGAACAGUGUGUGGAGACUCACAUUGUGAAUUUUUGCUCCAAGAACUACCUCAGGAACAUACCAGAAAAACCAAAAGAAUUCACAGACCCUUUGAAAAAAGUGGCUUGCCAGUGCAAACUCCAUGAGACAGCUGAAAAACUGUGCUCUCUGUACACAGAGGGUUUUGUCUGUUUGGUCACCGAUAUAUCUUCAGUGCCCAGAACAGUGCAUGGCAAUGGCAGACUCUCAACUGAUGGUUUAAAGAGGUUGUCUUUUCCAAGGCCCAUCACCUGCUUCACAGAAUUUUCAGCUCUUUUGACAAUUUCCAAGACAAGGGAUGAGUUCCAGCCACCAUGUCAUGAGGAGACCCUGGAUACCCCAGCUCAGAGCCUAGAGUGAGUAUUUGCAUUGAAGAGGAAACGUCGUAUAUUUGAAAUUUUCCAUUUUCUAGACUAUGCUUUGGGUCUUCAACUUCCACGCCAACACCAGAGGAUAAGUAUUUGAGACCCCCACAUUGGUCAUCCAACUAUGAAAAAAUUCUCAUUUUAAGCAUAUACAGCUUAAAAAAAGAAUCAACUUCAUGUAUUUGGAAAACCGUAAGUGCCAUCUUCCAUCAUUCAAAAAUGUCUGUAACAGACCAGCAUUAUUGACAGUUCUGAGCUAGACCGAAGGAACUCUUUUCUAUGACUUCAACAGAAAUAUUUUGUUAUUACAAUGUUUGCAAACAUUUUUAAGGUAUUGUUCAGUCAAAUGAUAGUCCCUAUAGCUUGCAACUCAAAAUAUCAUGGUGGUGAAAUACUCAUUAGUCACCUGCUAUAACUUCAAUGGAAUGUGCUAGGACACGGAGUUUGUAAAAGCAGAUAUUGUCUUGUUAAGCUGUCAGGUCCCAUAAUGUACAGCCUCACGCAAGGACACUGUCAUCAGGAAAAAGGCUUAGAUUAUGUGCUCCAAGUACACCAAGAAACUGGUUUCUGGAAACCCGACUUUUCAAUGAACGCUUGUUAAAGCAGAGUUAAUGUGUUUCCUACUGUUAUAACAAUGACGUGUGAGUCACAUAUGUGGUUUCGAGAUUCCUAAACUGGAUCUGCCUGGCUGCUGAUGUAAUCAGAAAUAACCUCUGGCUGUUUGAGACUAUAAUAUUCUGGAGGAAAACUGCCCAGCUGAUGCAACUGCUGAUUUUUGUUAACGCUAUCACCAACAUUCCCAGCAUUCAAAAUUCUUUAAGAUAUUAUUAUUCAUUAAUACUUUGUUUUAGAUAUUAUUAUUCAUUAAUACUUUGUUUUCAUUUGGAAAAUUUAUUUACUAUCAAAGCAAAAUAUUUUUGGGAUUCAGCCUGUAAAUUUAUCUUAAUUCUCACUGUCCUCACUGUCUGAAGGUCCUUUGUUAUUGGGGAAAAGAAUGUGGGGUUAGGUGUCAGGCAGAUUUGCACUUGAAUUUCAGCUCUGUCACUUACCUGUGUGAUUUCAGAGAGGUUACUGAACCUCUCUGAGCCUUGAGUUUCUAAUUUGGAAAAACAGGAAAUUAUUCCUAUCUCACAAUGUUCUGAAAAUAAAGUUAGACAUAGAGCAGCAUUUGGAAAAACAAGAGAGUACAACAUAGACAACCAGGUAUUUGGACCUAGGCUUGCCUCUAGGGAGCCUGGCUUGAUGAAUCUGCUGGGUUUUGAGCCCUGUGGGCCCUCCAGCUGGGCUGUCCUCCCCAAGCCCUAAACAAGGGAUUCAUUCAAACUCCCUAGGUCUUCACAGAAAGCAAGAGAAAAAUGAUGAGAGGAGGUUGUUGAGCCAGUUGCUUGCAAGAGCAGUCUUUCCUAUGGGAUGCCAUCAGUCAGUUGUUAAGUUUACAAAGCAGCAGGAAUAUGUAACUGAGAAUUUUGACUUUCAAAAUUUCUAUGAGCAGCCUCUUGGUAUCAGAACAAGAAGAUGGCAGUUGUGAAAGGAAGAAGAUCAUGAAAAUGCUGCAAUUUCAGAGGGGCAGAGAUCAGGGCAGAAAAAGAAAUCAUAAGCUUCCUGACACCUGAGGCUGAUUCGUUAAGCAGGAAAGAGGAGGAUGCUUACAAGGUGUUUCAACCACCAGGGACCCAAAAGGUGGGAGUGUAAAUUAGUUCAACCAUUGUGGAAGACAGUGUGGUGA
RNAcentral lists this long non-coding RNA (2289 nucleotides) under Homo sapiens (human). Its description in RNAcentral is "HSALNT0354377". Lineage: Eukaryota; Metazoa; Chordata; Mammalia; Primates; Hominidae. The record is from RNAcentral.